GUCUUAGGUUUGUUGGGGACAAUUCUCUGAGGUCUUCAUUUGGUAAAGUCUCCCGGGGAGAAUUUAAGAACUGCUACAGACCAUCUUCGUCACCCUCAUUAAACCAGACGGCUGAACAAACUGUCACAUUGGGAACCUGAGCUCAUAAGUAAGACGACCAGCUGUAUAUUCAGGCCACGACUUCAUCAAGGCACAUGGAGUUGGUGUGCAGUCUGGUGAUUCAACACUUCCAUGUAUGACUCAGUGCUCGGAGGCCCGAGAGAACUACACGACUCCGGGCAGUUUUGGAGACUUACACAGAAGCCUGCGGCUGGACCCCCCGUGCAGUCAAGGUGGGAAGUCCCAGCAGCACCCUAGCCAGGGACACGAGGGACACUCCUCACCAGGCUGCCCGUCCUGCCAUGUCCCAGAGAAGACCGCAGGACCCUCCGCCAAGACUCAUGUGGGACUUCGCUCAAGCCUUUGCCCUUUGCGGUUCAUGCGAGGCUGUGCAAAGUCGCCAUGGCGUCAUGACCGACGGAGCUGUCCCCUACAACUGCCCCGCCCCAUCUUUCACGUGAUCAUCUAAGAAUUCUUCUUAGAAGCCCAGGGCACCCCAUCAGAUGCCCCAAGUAACUGUACUGAGAGGGGCUUGGAAGAAAGACUUUCUAUUUGUCUUGAGUGCAAACAGAUGGGAGUGACCAUGGCUAUGACUCCCAGUAGAAUGACCAGACCUGGUCUGAUCCCAGACAGACCACAGCCAGGCUCCUGGUCCAGAGGCAAACCCCCUAAAUAUGUCCUGAGUCCAGGUGGGGCAAGAGGUGUUGGCAACCGCAGGCAGCCUGCCUUGGGGUGGCCAACAGGAAGUCCGGGGCCGUGGGAUUGUCCGUCCCCAGUCAUGCCAGGGAGUUGAGACUGGUUUGUGUGUGGCAGGCAAGUACCACAGAAAUGGUACCCUAGGGGCGCCUGGGUGGCUCAGAUGGUUAAGCAACU
Molecule: long non-coding RNA, 972 nt
Organism: Zalophus californianus (California sea lion)
Lineage: Eukaryota; Metazoa; Chordata; Mammalia; Carnivora; Otariidae
Exons: 3
Source: RefSeq, a predicted model, not a curated record